UCUAGAACUCUAUAUAUGGUCUAAACACCAAAUAGUAUCUAGGCUGCGGGACAAAUUUAGACAUCUUUUUUAUUGCUAAGAUUUGAAUUAAAAAAACAACAGUAUUGAGUCUUGGUCUUUUAAUGAAUGUUUUCGGCCUAAGUCUUAGAUUUCUUUC
Non-coding RNA from Populus trichocarpa (black cottonwood), 157 nucleotides. The record is from Rfam. NCBI's taxonomy places the organism in Eukaryota, Viridiplantae, Streptophyta, Magnoliopsida, Malpighiales, Salicaceae.